RNAcentral lists this long non-coding RNA (797 nucleotides) under Salvia miltiorrhiza (redroot sage). Its description in RNAcentral is "long non-coding RNA (SMIL_LNC005661)". Lineage: Eukaryota; Viridiplantae; Streptophyta; Magnoliopsida; Lamiales; Lamiaceae. The record is from RNAcentral.
AAGUCAUAAGUUCACGCGUGCACUAUUCAAAUUAAACUUCAAGUUUACCAGGAACAGAACAUGUAAACAUCAAAUUCCAAUAGUUAGAUUUUGUUUCGACAUGAUCAUGAUUAAAUCAUAACCUAAGAAGCACGGGGAUAGAUACGUAAUACGGAUACGAUACGGUACGGGGACGUAAAUACGUCAUUUUUCCAAAACACAUGAUACGAUACGUCAAAAAUACGUUUUAGUUUUUUAUUUAAAAUAUAUUUUAUAUAUAUUAUAAAUUCAUAAUUCACCAAUAAUAUAAGCAAAACACUACUAAUUCAUAAUAAAGUUAACCAAAUAGAAAAUAAAACAUAGUCUUAAUAAUUAAUACUUAAUAAAACACACUAAAAUGUUAGCCCUCUUCACUCAUCAUCCUCAUUCUCCUCCUCCUUCCUCUUCCUCUUCAUGGCUGCCAAUACAAAUCAAAAACAUAAAUCAAACUUCAAUCAACAAAUUGAAAUACCCACUGCCCAAUUCAAAAUACCCGCAGCCACUGCCCAAUUCGACAUACCCACUGCCCAAUCAAAAACAUAAAUCAAACAAAUCCAACAAAUUGAAAUACCCAUCUGCCUAAGUUAAUUGAAAUACUCAAAUACCCACUGCCCAAUCCAACAAAUCGAAAAUCAAACUUCAAUCCAACAAAACCCAAAGCCAAAUUCAGCCAAUCUACCCACUGCCCAAGCCAAAUAAAAGAGAUUAGAGCAAUACCUUUAGUUGUUAAGGUGGCGCGGCUGCUCCAAGCGCGCAGGGAAGCGCGACGGCGACGACGA